UGUAAAUGCUUUUAGAUUGAAUGACUAAAUAAAAGAAGAAACUACAGCACAGUCAAUUUUCCCCAUGACCGCCUGAGAGAUGAAGCCAGUGCUGCCACUUUUCCUUCAUUUUUUCCUGCCUUGAAUAUGGUAGUGAUGCCUGGAGCUUUAGUAGCUAUCUUAUGAUCAUGAAAUGGCAGGCAUGAGACUGAAAGACAUUGCACUCAUCAUGAAAGCAGGUAGAGCAGAAGAAAUAGGGUCACUGGUGAUAUCAAUAAUAGCUGAAACAGUGCUGCUCUGGAUGGAAAAUGCCCUGGGUUCUCUGAGACUUAACACCCCGCCUUGUGAACAUGAACAAGAUUAUUCUCUCUGAGCAGCUCUUUUCACAUGUGAUAAGCUUGGCAAGUUGCCCUGGAUUCAGUUCCCCCCACUGUCCUCACCCAACCCAACAGAGAAGAGGGCUUGUGACUGUGUAAGGUGAAAAUGGAUAUACCAUUUCUGGGAAGAGAAAAGAAGCCAAUUAAAAGUGGAACAUGUCAUUACACUGACAAGCAAUGAAUGUACCUUAUUUAGAAAAAAGAAUCCAUGAAUUCCUGUGGCUCUGA
This is a long non-coding RNA of Callithrix jacchus (white-tufted-ear marmoset), 584 nucleotides long. RefSeq lists it as uncharacterized. Lineage: Eukaryota; Metazoa; Chordata; Mammalia; Primates; Cebidae. The record is from RefSeq and is a predicted model, not a curated record.